RNAcentral lists this long non-coding RNA (821 nucleotides) under Mytilus galloprovincialis (Mediterranean mussel). The record is from RNAcentral. Lineage: Eukaryota; Metazoa; Mollusca; Bivalvia; Mytilida; Mytilidae.
AUUUUUUAUGAAAUCAAACUAAGUUUAAUUUUGGACCCUUUGGGUCCCUUAUUCCUAAACUGUUGGGACCAAAACUCCCAAAAUCAAUCCCAACCUUCCUUUUAUGGUCAUAAACCUUGUGUUCAAAUUUCAUAGAUUUCUAUUUACUUAUACUAAAGUUAUGGUGCGAAAACAAAGAAAAAUGCUUAUUUGGGCCCCUUUUUGGCCCUUAAUUCCUAAACUGUUGGGACCAAAACUACCAAAAUCAAUCCUAACCUUCCUUUUGUGAUCAUGAACCUUGUGUUAAAAUUUCAUAGAUUUCUAUUUACUUAUACUUAAGUUAUAGUGCGAAAACCAAAUGUCUUCGGACUACUAUGAUGACGACGACGCAGACGACGACGCCAACGUGAUACCGAUAUACGACCAAAAAAUUCUCAAUUUUUGCGGUCUUAUAAAAAGAUAUGAAUACAUUCAAAUCAAAAAAGGUUAUAUUAUAUAAUACAAAAUAUAUGUUCCUACUGCACCUUGUGCCAUAGUAAAAUAUUAUAGUUCUUCCCUUUUAUGGUACACAACUUAAAUAUUAUGUUUUUGAAACACUAAACAUGACAUAAACAUAACUUACAAAUUUAUAAUAAAUAUGAAAAAACUACAAGUCAAAUUCUUAAUUCAACAUAUCCAUCUAUUAUAAAUUGACAAUACAAAAACAAACAUUAACAAAUUGAAGCACCAACAAGAACGUCCAUAUCACAAAAGUUUUACUCUACUUUAAUUAAUUUACUGUAUUCUUCUUGGGGUUUAGAAAUCCAUUCUUCUUUCACCUUAUUUCUUUUCAGCAUACCAUC